Molecule: non-coding RNA, 111 nt
Filed under: uncultured Eubacterium sp.
Lineage: Bacteria; Bacillati; Bacillota; Clostridia; Eubacteriales; Eubacteriaceae
Description: Glycine riboswitch
Rfam family: Glycine riboswitch aptamer
About the family: This family represents the bacterial glycine riboswitch. Glycine riboswitches usually consist of two metabolite-binding aptamers domains with similar structures in tandem. The aptamers cooperatively bind glycine to regulate the expression of downstream genes.
Source: RNAcentral
AACUGGAGAGGUCUGAUGGCACAAUAUGUGUUGACUCAGACGCCGAAGGUGUACGGUAGCAGCCAAAUAUUGCCGGAUGCUAUUAAUCUCUCAGGCAAAAGGACAGGAGGA